Eimeria praecox is the source of this 72-nucleotide non-coding RNA. The record is from Rfam. Lineage: Eukaryota; Apicomplexa; Conoidasida; Eucoccidiorida; Eimeriidae.
GGGCUGUUAGCUCAGCGGUAGAGCGCACCCCUGAUAAGGGCGAGGUGCCUGGUUCAACUCCAGGGCGGCCUA